RNAcentral lists this transfer RNA (77 nucleotides) under Paludihabitans sp. MB14-C6. RNAcentral's name for it is "Paludicola sp. MB14-C6 tRNA-Arg". It matches the Rfam family "tRNA". Rfam says of the family: Transfer RNA (tRNA) molecules are approximately 80 nucleotides in length. Their secondary structure includes four short double-helical elements and three loops (D, anti-codon, and T loops). Lineage: Bacteria; Bacillati; Bacillota; Clostridia; Eubacteriales; Oscillospiraceae. The record is from RNAcentral.
GCGCUCGUAGCUCAGUUGGAUAGAGUGUUUGGCUACGAACCAAAAGGUCGGGGGUUCGAAUCCCUUCGGGCGUACCA